CUUCAAAAAAUUUGGAGGAGUAUACUCCUGUCUUCUUUAGAAUUUUUAAAGCUUCGAACAAGCGUGUAGUGCUCUUAUGCUCCGAUGCAAGAAGUUCUUCUUUGAAGAGUGAGUUGUACAAGCCAUCAUUUGCUGGAUUUGUAGAUGUGGAUUUGUCUACUACUAAGAAGCUUUCUCUUAGGAGUUUGAUUGAUCAUUCUGUAGUGGAGAGUUUUGAAGUAGGAGAGGAAAAACAAAUAUUUU
This is a long non-coding RNA of Arachis ipaensis, 243 nucleotides long. RefSeq lists it as uncharacterized. The record is from RefSeq and is a predicted model, not a curated record. NCBI's taxonomy places the organism in Eukaryota, Viridiplantae, Streptophyta, Magnoliopsida, Fabales, Fabaceae.